AUGGGGGACGAGAGGGUCGAGGCCAUGGAGAUUGAUGGGCAGCAGCGGCAAGAAGUCGCCGCCGCUGUGCCGGACGGCUUCAACGCCGAUUACCUCCGAAUCUACUACGGAAAGCUCUUCCCAUAUGGUGAUUUCUUCAAGUGGCUUGCAUACGGAAAUGAUGCAAAGCAUCCUGGAUGUGAUCAGUCAUACAUUGGGCGUCGGGAGCUUUCGUUUACACUGGAGAAUGACAUCUAUCUGCGGUUUCAGUCCUUUGAUAGUGCAGCUGAACUGGAGACUUCUAUCAAGGAGAAGUGCCCUUUCAAGAUUGAUAUUGGACCUGUCUACAGCGUAGAUCCUGCAAAGCGACAUGCCUACGCCCAGUCUGGUAACAAUGUCUUCGUACCAGUGGAAAGGGAACUUAUUUUUGAUAUUGAUAUAUCUGAUUAUGAUGAUGUUCGCUACUGCUGCUCUGGAGCUGACACCUGUCUGGACUGCUGGCCAUUAAUGACCAUUGUCAUCAAAAUCCUGGAUACUUCACUUAGAGGUGAUUUUGGUUUCAAUCACAUAUUGUGGGUAUAUAGUGGUCGCCGUGGUGUCCAUUGCUGGGUUUGUGAUAGUAGAGCAAGAAAGCUAAGCAAUGAACAAAGGUCUGCAAUUGCUGACUACUUCCGUGUCUAUAAGGGUGGCGAGAAUUCACUCAAGAAAGUUUCGUUGACUGGGCCUGUCCUUCACCCUUUCCUUGCACGGUCAUACACCGAUGUUCUGAAAUGCUUCUUUGAAGACAAGCUGUUACAUAGCCAACAACUAUUUGCAUCCGAGGAGAGGUGCCAGAAGAUACUCGAACUUAUUCCAGACGAAAAUGUUGCUAGUGAGCUCCAUGAUAAAUGGCAAGGAAAUAGACGAUCCUCCAUCUCAAAAGAAGAUGUGAAUGCAGCAAGAUGGGAGCAGUUAAAGACGACCUUGCAGUCAGGAAAACACAAGACGCAGGGGCUUCGCAGAUGUGUAGAAGAGAUUGUCUUCUCGUACACGUAUCCUAGACUUGACAUGGAGGUGUCAAAGCACAUGAAUCAUUUACUGAAGGCCCCCUUUUGCAUACACCCAAAGACAGGGCGUGUUUGCGUUCCAAUCGAUCCCAACAAUUGUGAAGAUUUUGAUCCUACAGCUGUUCCAACUUUAUCACAGCUGUUAGGAGAGCUCAAUGCGGCUGGUAUGCAGAUUGAUUCUGAGAACGAUUGGGAGAGAACAUCCCUUGAAAAGUACAUCAGAUUUUUCAGAACGUCCUUUCUUCAACCGAUGCUGAAAGCUUGCAAGGAGGAACUGGAAACCGCUUAUAGUGCAAAGCUCCAACAGUCCAAGAAUACCUUGAGCUGGUAA
Molecule: ribosomal RNA, 1356 nt
Filed under: Triticum aestivum (bread wheat)
Lineage: Eukaryota; Viridiplantae; Streptophyta; Magnoliopsida; Poales; Poaceae
Description: partial small subunit ribosomal RNA
Source: RNAcentral